GAUGAAGAACGUAGCGAACUGCGAUAAGUAAUGUGAAUUGCAGAAUUCAGUGAAUCAUCGAGUCUUUGAACGCACAUUGCGCCCCCUGGCAUUCCGGGGGGCAUGCCUGUCCGAGCGUCAUUGCUGCCCUUCAAGCCCGGCUUGUGUGUUGGGUCGUCGUCCCCCCCGGGGGACGGGCCCGAAAGGCAGCGGCGGCACCGCGUCCGGUCCUCGAGCGUAUGGGGCUUUGUCACUCACUUUACGGCCCGGACCGGCGCCAGUCCGAAUCAAUCUUUUUUCUAAAGUUGACCUCGGAUCAGGUAGGGAUACCCGCUGAACUUAAGCAUAUCAAUAAGCGGAGGA
Molecule: unclassified non-coding RNA, 342 nt
Filed under: soil metagenome
Description: partial contains 5.8S ribosomal RNA, internal transcribed spacer 2, and large subunit ribosomal RNA
Rfam family: 5.8S ribosomal RNA (bases 1-120)
Source: RNAcentral